CCCCAGACUCCUACGGGAGGCAGCAGUGGGGAAUAUUGCACAAUGGGGGAAACCCUGAUGCAGCGACGCCGCGUGAGCGAUGAAGUAUUUCGGUAUGUAAAGCUCUAUCAGCGGGGAAGAAAAUGACGGUACCUGACUAAGAAGCCCCGGCUAACUACGUGCCAGCAGCCGCGGUAAUACGUAGGGGGCAAGCGUUAUCCGGAUUCACUGGGUGUAAAGGGAGCGUAGACGGCCAUGCAAGCCAGGGGUGAAAGCCCGGGGCCCAACCCCGGGACUGCCCUUGGAACUGUGCGGCUAGAGUGCGGGAGGGGCAGGCGGAAUUCCUGGUGUAGCGGUGAAAUGCGUAGAUAUCAGGAGGAACACCGGCGGCGAAGGCGGCCUGCUGGACCGCGACUGACGUUGAGGCUCGAAAGCGUGGGGAGCGAACAGGAUUAGAUACCCGUGUA
Molecule: ribosomal RNA, 446 nt
Filed under: uncultured bacterium
Lineage: Bacteria
Description: bacterial SSU rRNA
Rfam family: Bacterial small subunit ribosomal RNA
Source: RNAcentral